Non-coding RNA from Otolemur garnettii (small-eared galago), 230 nucleotides. The record is from Rfam. NCBI's taxonomy places the organism in Eukaryota, Metazoa, Chordata, Mammalia, Primates, Galagidae.
AAGACUAUACUUUUAGGGAUCAUUUCUAUAGUUUGUUACUAGACAAGUCUCUCUGAAUGUGUAGUGCACCGAAAACCACAAGGAGGAGGUGUGGUGUUUUCUUCUGAGCGUGAAGUUGGCAUUUGGUGUUGAAGUUGCUAUAACUGCCACUUGUCGUUAAUGAUCGUUCUUCUUCUACAAGGGAAGUGAGAGAGAGAGAGAGAGAGAGAAAAAAGCAAAUCCAAAGCAGU